AGGCAAUGAAGAAACCCAAUCCUUGUGCCCCGGAGAUGGAUCCAACCAUCGCUGACGGUGACACAAACCCUCUAAGAAGUUCUGAGCCU
Musa acuminata subsp. malaccensis (wild Malaysian banana) is the source of this 89-nucleotide non-coding RNA. Lineage: Eukaryota; Viridiplantae; Streptophyta; Magnoliopsida; Zingiberales; Musaceae. The record is from Rfam.